This 245-nucleotide ribosomal RNA is filed under the name uncultured bacterium. RNAcentral's name for it is "partial small subunit ribosomal RNA". It matches the Rfam family "Bacterial small subunit ribosomal RNA", at positions 26 to 285 of the family's 1533-position model. The record is from RNAcentral.
AGAAUCAACGCUGGCGGCGUGCCUAACACAUGCAAGUCGAACGAGAAAGGGUAGCAAUACCUGAGUAAAGUGGCGCACGGGUGAGUAACACGUGACUAACCUACCCUGGAGUGGGGGAUAACUGAAGGAAACCUUAGCUAAUACCGCAUAACACCUACGGGUCAAAGGAGCAAUUCGCUUCAGGAGGGGGUCGCGGCCGAUUAGUUAGUUGGCGGGGUAAUGGCCCACCAAGACAGUGAUCUGUA